Molecule: small nucleolar RNA, 107 nt
Organism: Lactuca sativa (garden lettuce)
Lineage: Eukaryota; Viridiplantae; Streptophyta; Magnoliopsida; Asterales; Asteraceae
Source: RefSeq, a predicted model, not a curated record
AAAUCAUGAUAUGGGCAAUUCCUUAAUAAGACUUUGUAUCUCUCCCACGCCUCAUAUAGUGACUCUCCAGCUUGUUGUUCAAAGAUCGCUAUGGCUUUUUUCAACUU